Molecule: ribosomal RNA, 434 nt
Filed under: uncultured Clostridium sp.
Lineage: Bacteria; Bacillati; Bacillota; Clostridia; Eubacteriales; Clostridiaceae
Description: partial 16S ribosomal RNA
Rfam family: Bacterial small subunit ribosomal RNA
Source: RNAcentral
ACGGAAGGCAGCAGUGGGGGAUAUUGCACAAUGGGGGAAACCCUGAUGCAGCGACGCCGCGUGAGUGAAGAAGUAUUUCGGUAUGUAAAGCUCUAUCAGCAGGGAAGAAAAUGACGGUACCUGACUAAGAAGCUCCGGCUAAAUACGUGCCAGCAGCCGCGGUAAUACGUAGGGGGCGAGCGUUAUCCGGAUUUACUGGGUGUAAAGGGCGCGUAGGCGGGGAUGCAAGUCAGAUGUGAAAUCCAUGGGCUCAACCCAUGAACUGCAUUUGAAACUGUAUUUCUUGAGUGCUGGAGAGGUAGACGGAAUUCCUUGUGUGGCGGUGAAAUGCGUAGAUAUAAGGAAGAACACCAGUGGCGAAGGCGGUCUACUGGACAGUAACUGACGCUGAGGAGCGAGAGCGUGGGGAGCAAACAGGAUUAGAUACCCUGGUA